GCACUUGUAGCUCAACUGGAUAGAGCAUCUGAUUACGAGUCAGGAGGUUUGGGGUUCGAAUCCCUACAAGUGCGCCA
This 77-nucleotide transfer RNA is filed under the name Alphaproteobacteria bacterium. RNAcentral's name for it is "tRNA-Arg". It matches the Rfam family "tRNA". From Rfam's summary of the family: Transfer RNA (tRNA) molecules are approximately 80 nucleotides in length. Their secondary structure includes four short double-helical elements and three loops (D, anti-codon, and T loops). Further hydrogen bonds mediate the characteristic L-shaped molecular structure. tRNAs have two regions of fundamental functional importance: the anti-codon, which is responsible for specific mRNA codon recognition, and the 3' end, to which the tRNAs corresponding amino acid is attached (by aminoacyl-tRNA synthetases). tRNAs cope with the degeneracy of the genetic code in two manners: having more than one tRNA (with a specific anti-codon) for a particular amino acid; and 'wobble' base-pairing, i.e. permitting non-standard base-pairing at the 3rd anti-codon position. Lineage: Bacteria; Pseudomonadati; Pseudomonadota; Alphaproteobacteria. The record is from RNAcentral.